GUCCGCACCGUAAACGAUGGAUACUAGGUGUCCGGGGCUUCGGCCCUGGGUGCCCAAGGGAAACCGAUAAGUAUCCCACCUGGGGAGUACGUCCGCAAGGAUGAAACUCAAAGGAAUUGACGGGGGCCCGCACAAGCGGUGGAGCAUGUGGUUUAAUUCGAUGAUACGCGAGAAACCUUACCUGGGCUAGAAUGCCCUCGACCACCCCGGAAACGGGGCUUCCCUUCGGGGCGAGGAGCAAGGUGCUGCAUGGCUGUCGU
Molecule: ribosomal RNA, 260 nt
Filed under: uncultured bacterium
Lineage: Bacteria
Description: partial 16S ribosomal RNA
Rfam family: Bacterial small subunit ribosomal RNA
Source: RNAcentral